GAUGAACGCUGGCGGCGUGCCUAAUACAUGCAAGUCGAGCGAACAGACGAGGAGCUUGCUCCUCUGACGUUAGCGGCGGACGGGUGAGUAACACGUGGAUAACCUACCUAUAAGACUGGGAUAACUUCGGGAAACCGGAGCUAAUACCGGAUAAUAUAUUGAACCGCAUGGUUCAAUAGUGAAAGACGGUUUUGCUGUCUCUUAUAGAUGGAUCCGCGCCGCAUUAGCUAGUUGGUAAGGUAACGGCUUACCAAGGCAACGAUGCGUAGCCGACCUGAGAGGAUGAUCAGCCACACUGGAACUGAGACACGGUCCAGACUCCUACGGGAGGCAGCAGUAGGGAAUCUUCCGCAAUGGGCGAAAGCCUGACGGAGCAACGCCGCGUGAGUGAUGAAGGUCUUCGGAUCGUAAAACUCUGUUAUUAGGAAAGAACAAAAGUGUAAGUAACUAUGCACGUCUUGACGGUACCUAAACAGAAAGCCACGGCUAACUACGUG
RNAcentral lists this ribosomal RNA (497 nucleotides) under uncultured bacterium. Its description in RNAcentral is "partial 16S ribosomal RNA". It matches the Rfam family "Bacterial small subunit ribosomal RNA", at positions 28 to 507 of the family's 1533-position model. The record is from RNAcentral.